AUGUUUUUAAUGGCUUUUUUGUUUGAACUUUCAACCUAUUGGACGAAAAAACCCCACCCGGUAUUGUUGACAAGUUUGGUUGGUGCACAUGGGACGCCUUCUACCUUAAAGUGCACCCACAGGGUGUCAUUGAGGGUGUCAAGGGUCUAGUUCAAGGCGGAUGCCCACCGGGGCUCGUUGAUAGAAGGGUGCCCAGAGCUUAAUGGAUGGAUAUUGAAGCUAAACGGGAGGUUUUCGGGAAGAUUUAUGAAGGUUUGAAGCUUACACACAAGUUGGGAGUUGAAAAAUGUGAAAAAUGGUGAGAAACCAGUACUUAGCGCAAGAAGAAACCAGUUUGGCGCAAGCCGGUGUCAGUUUUGACGUAAUACAGAUGCAAGUAAGUCAGGGGCGCAACCUUGUACCAUGGGGGCGCAACCUUGCGCUGACAUCAGAUAGCCACACGAAAAUUCAGCAUUUUACUUUAUUUUAAUAUAUCUUCAACCCCAAAACGAGAUUUUCAUUAACCCUAGCCGUUUUCCACUUCCCAAGGACGAAUUUUGGAGUUCCCAACAUCAAUUUUCAUCAAUCUUUCAUGCAAUCAAACAUCCAAGAAAACCAAGAAGAUCAAAUCAUGACUAUGAGUGGCUAGAUUCUUUUGUGACCACCUCCGGGUGGAUGGUUCAUGGAGGCCAUUAUAGCUGCUAUUCCAAGUUA
Molecule: long non-coding RNA, 693 nt
Filed under: Helianthus annuus (common sunflower)
Lineage: Eukaryota; Viridiplantae; Streptophyta; Magnoliopsida; Asterales; Asteraceae
Source: RNAcentral